This 758-nucleotide small RNA is filed under the name Pan troglodytes (chimpanzee). Its description in RNAcentral is "retained intron". The record is from RNAcentral. Lineage: Eukaryota; Metazoa; Chordata; Mammalia; Primates; Hominidae.
GAAUCCUUGCGCAGCAGCUGGACUCCAAGCUGAAGCUCUUCCCUCCCGCUACAAGCGACCCCUUAACAUCUUAAGUCAGACAGGUGACAGGGAUUUUGAUUUCUUUUCUAGGGCUAUUUAAUCUCCGAGGAUCAGAUGUGGAGCACAAUCCAGUAUUUUUCUCCUACGCAAUCAUAGGACUAGAGACGAUCAUGCUCUUCAUUGAUGGUGACCGCAUAGACGCCCCCAGUGUGAAGGAGCACCUGCUUCUUGACUUGGGUCUGGAGGCCGAAUACAGGAUCCAGGUGCAUCCCUACAAGUCCAUCCUGAGCGAGCUCAAGGCCCUGUGUGCUGACCUCUCCCCAAGGGAGAAGGUGUGGGUCAGUGACAAGGCCAGCUAUGCUGUGAGCGAGACCAUCCCCAAGGACCACCGCUGCUGUAUGCCUUACACCCCCAUCUGCAUCGCCAAAGCUGUGAAGAAUUCAGCUGAGUCAGAAGGCAUGAGGCGGGCUCACAUUAAAGAUGCUGUUGCCCUCUGUGAACUCUUUAACUGGCUGGAGAAAGAGGUUCCCAAAGGUGGUGUGACAGAGAUCUCAGCUGCUGACAAAGCUGAGGAGUUUCGCAGGCAACAGGCAGACUUUGUGGACCUGAGCUUCCCAACAAUUUCCAGUACGGGACCCAACGGCGCCAUCAUUCACUACGCGCCAGUCCCUGAGACGAAUAGGACCUUGUCCCUGGAUGAGGUGUACCUUAUUGACUCGGGUGCUCAAUACAAGUAA